GAUGAAGAACGUAGCGAAAUGCGAUAAGUAAUGUGAAUUGCAGAAUUCAGUGAAUCAUCGAAUCUUUGAACGCACCUUGCGCCCUUUGGCUAUUCCGAAGGGCAUGCCUGUUUGAGUAUCAUGAACACCUCAACUCUUCACGGCUUGCCGUGAUGAGUUUGGACUUUGGGGGUCUUGCUGGCCUACGAGCCAGCUCCUCUCAAAUGUAUUAGCUUGCCGGUGUUUGGUGGCAUCACAGGUGUGAUAACUAUCUACGCUUGUGGUUUUCCACUAGGUAACCUUCAGCAAUGGAGGUUCACCGGAGCUCACAAAUGUCUCUCCUUGACAAGGACAGAUUUUGACCAUUUGAUCUCAAAUCAGGUAGGACUACCAGCUGAACUUAAGCAUAUCAAUAAGCGGAGGA
This 403-nucleotide unclassified non-coding RNA is filed under the name soil metagenome. Its description in RNAcentral is "partial contains 5.8S ribosomal RNA, internal transcribed spacer 2, and large subunit ribosomal RNA". The stretch from base 1 to 121 matches the Rfam family "5.8S ribosomal RNA", at positions 35 to 154 of the family's 154-position model. The record is from RNAcentral.